CAGGCCUAACACAUGCAAGUCGAGCGGCAGCGGGAAAGUAGCUUGCUACUUUUGCCGGCGAGCGGCGGACGGGUGAGUAAUGCCUGGGAAAUUGCCCAGUCGAGGGGGAUAACAGUUGGAAACGACUGCUAAUACCGCAUACGCCCUACGGGGGAAAGCAGGGGACCUUCGGGCCUUGCGCGAUUGGAUAUGCCCAGGUGGGAUUAGCUAGUUGGUGAGGUAAUGGCUCACCAAGGCGACGAUCCCUAGCUGGUCUGAGAGGAUGAUCAGCCACACUGGAACUGAGACACGGUCCAGACUCCUACGGGAGGCAGCAGUGGGGAAUAUUGCACAAUGGGGGAAACCCUGAUGCAGCCAUGCCGCGUGUGUGAAGAAGGCCUUCGGGUUGUAAAGCACUUUCAGCGAGGAGGAAAGGUCAGUAGCUAAUAUCUGCUGACUGUGACGUUACUCGCAGAANAAGCACCGGCUAACUCCGUGCCAGC
RNAcentral lists this ribosomal RNA (482 nucleotides) under uncultured bacterium. Its description in RNAcentral is "bacterial SSU rRNA". It matches the Rfam family "Bacterial small subunit ribosomal RNA", at positions 43 to 512 of the family's 1533-position model. The record is from RNAcentral.